CUCAAAGCUGUAAAAAGUCUCAGACUUGAAUAUAUUAAAAAUGAUGGCAUAUGUCUUCAUAAUUUGAAGUGAACAGCAAUAAGUAAUUGCUAUAUAUGAACAUCUUUCACUGAAAAACAAAUUAGAUAUAAAACAAACCAUUUUUGCCUCUAUUUCAAGAAUUUCUUUAUAUCAAAAGAAGAUGAAAUGUUGAUUUUUGUCCAUUGCCACAGAAAAUUCAAACAACCUGAAGUUUACAAGAAUCAGACCCACAGGACUCAUUUGAGAAAGAUAAACCAGGUGUGCUUAAGAAUUCUUUUAGAAUAUCCAAUAUAUUCACCUGCAAGAGUCAAACUCCUUAUCCCAAAAAAAGCUUCAAGAUGCUUCAUCAGCAAAGCAAAUUGUCAUUGACCAUCGGUGUUCUCUCCACAGUCUGGGAAGCAUGAAUAACUCACAGAUAUCUACUGUGACGCAGUUUGUGUUGUUGGGGUUUCCUGGUCCCUGGAAAAUUCAGAUCAUCUUUUUCUCAAUGAUUUUGUUGGUCUACAUCUUCACUCUGACUGGGAAUAUGGCCAUCAUCUGUGCAGUGAGGUGGGACCAUCGACUCCAUACCCCUAUGUACGUGCUCCUAGCCAACUUCUCCUUCCUAGAGAUCUGGUAUGUGACCUGCACAGUCCCCAACAUGCUGGUAAAUUUUUUCUCCAAAACUAAGACCAUAUCAUUCUCUGGAUGUUUCACUCAGUUCCACUUCUUCUUUUCCCUGGGCACAACUGAAUGCUUCUUCCUCUGUGUCAUGGCUUAUGAUCGGUACCUGGCCAUCUGCCACCCACUGCACUAUCCCUCCAUUAUGACUGGCCAGCUCUGUGGCAUCUUGGUGUCUCUUUGUUGGCUCAUUGGUUUCCUUGGACAUUCAAUUUCCAUUUUCUUCAUUUUUCAACUACCUUUCUGUGGUCCCAACAUCAUUGAUCAUUUUCUGUGUGAUGUAGACCCACUGAUGGCAUUGUCCUCUGCCCCUACUCACAUCAUAGGGCAUGUGUUCCAUUCUGUGAGCUCUCUUUUCAUCAACCUCACCAUGGUGUACAUCCUUGGGUCCUAUACCUUGGUGCUCAGAACUGUGCUUUAGGUUCCUUCUUCAGCUGGAUGGCAAAAGGCCAUCUCUACCUGUGGGUCACACUUGGUUGUUGUGUCUCUGUUCUAUGGAGCCAUAAUGCUGAUGUAUGUGAGUCCCACACCUGGCAACUCAGUUGCUAUGCAUAAGCUCAUCACACUGAUAUAUUCUGUGGUAACACCUGUCUUAAACCCCCUCAUCUACAGCCUACGCAACAAGGACAUGAAAUAUGCCCUCCAUCAUGUCUUCUGUGGAAUGAGAAUUAUCCAGAGAUCAUGAAUAGGGUUUUUUAUAACCCAAUGACUCUUAAUGCGAUUGGAAGAAUAAUCCUCUUCUUUUAACACUAACUGACUUGAUUUUAUUCAUGGUCAUCGCCAUCCUUUUGUACAAGCAAAACUCUUCAUGUAUCUGAUCAUAUUUUGACGAGCUUCUAGUUUCAGAAAUGUGCUCCAUGGGAGCAGGUUGGCCCCAAUAUAUGGUAAAAAUAACACAUAAAAAUCUUAAUAUCUUCAUCCAUGUCCCUACAAAGGACAUGAAGCCAUCAUUUUUAUGGCUGCAUAGUAUUCCAUGGUGUAUAUAUGCCACAUUUUCUUAAUCCAGUCUAUCAUUGUUGGACAUUUGGGUUGGUUCUAAGUCUUUGCUAUCGUGAAUAAUGCCGCAAUAAACAUACGUGUGCAUGUCU
Homo sapiens (human) is the source of this 1769-nucleotide RNA transcript. It is a transcript of the gene named olfactory receptor family 11 subfamily H member 7 (gene/pseudogene), transcript variant 1, non-coding, with no coding region annotated. Lineage: Eukaryota; Metazoa; Chordata; Mammalia; Primates; Hominidae. The record is from RefSeq and is marked validated. The transcript has a single exon.